This 65-nucleotide transfer RNA is filed under the name Arenivaga sp. B097. RNAcentral's name for it is "tRNA-Met". Lineage: Eukaryota; Metazoa; Arthropoda; Insecta; Blattodea; Corydiidae. The record is from RNAcentral.
GGACAAGUAAGCUAAAACUAAGCUAAUGGAUUCAUACCCCAUAAAUAGAUUAUUUCUCUUUUCUA